CGCCAAUUUGGUCGGUUCGGGCACGCGAACAGGCGCCGAACGGACAGCAUCUCUCCUGUCCGCCCAAGGCUCCAACAUCAUGUAUAAUACAAGCAGUUCAAUACAAACGAUUGCAAUUAUGCAAGGUUUGCACGAGGGCAAACAACAACUAAUUCACAUGUGAAAGCAUCGAAACUAACUAAACAUUUAUCCACAUACAUAUCAUUUGAUUACAUUUGAAUCAAACACAAGUAAACCAUUAUUUACAUUCAUUCUUUCCAUUCAUUUACAUUUAUAUCACAUUAGCUUUCAUCCAAAAUACAUUAAUUACAUCAUUUAACAUUUCUAGUUCAACAUACAAAGUUGAAUAUACAUAGGGAAUGCCUAUACUCCGAGGGCCGCUAUCUACGGCGCGAUACCCUUGCCUCGAUCCUCCGCCGCCCCGCUUGCGCACGGAUCUGCAGGGUUAGUGAUGGUGUGAGAAUUAAAAGAAGUUUCCAGUGGGUUCGGCCGCCGACCGCGCCGACUCGCCCACUAGGUCUAUUCAGACAUAUGUAUUUCAAUAAAGGAGAAUAUCAAACCCACUAAUAC
This 570-nucleotide long non-coding RNA is filed under the name Ananas comosus (pineapple). Its description in RNAcentral is "long non-coding RNA (ACOM_LNC005156)". Lineage: Eukaryota; Viridiplantae; Streptophyta; Magnoliopsida; Poales; Bromeliaceae. The record is from RNAcentral.